UGAGGAAUAUUGCACAAUGGGCGCAAGCCUGAUGCAGCAACGCCGCGUGAGGGACGAAGGCCUUCGGGUCGUAAACCUCUUUUCUGGGGGACGAGUAAGGACGGUACCCCAGGAAUAAGUCUCGGCUAACUACGUGCCAGCAGCCGCGGUAAAACGUAGGAGGCGAGCGUUAUCCGGAUUUACUGGGCGUAAAGCGUACGCAGGUGGCUUCGUUAGUCGGACAUGAAGGCUCGUGGCUUAACUGGG
This 246-nucleotide ribosomal RNA is filed under the name uncultured bacterium. Its description in RNAcentral is "partial 16S ribosomal RNA". It matches the Rfam family "Bacterial small subunit ribosomal RNA", at positions 355 to 617 of the family's 1533-position model. The record is from RNAcentral.